This 728-nucleotide ribosomal RNA is filed under the name uncultured fungus. Its description in RNAcentral is "SSU rRNA". It matches the Rfam family "Eukaryotic small subunit ribosomal RNA", at positions 328 to 1060 of the family's 1831-position model. The record is from RNAcentral. Lineage: Eukaryota; Fungi.
GUAGGAUAGAGGCCUACCAUGGUGGUAACGGGUAACGGGGUGUUAGGGCACGACACCGGAGAGGGAGCCUGAGAAACGGCUACCACAUCCAAGGAUGGCAGCAGGCGCGCAAAUUACCCAAUCCCGACACGGGGAGGUAGUGACAAUAAAUAACAAUACGGGGUUCUUUCGGAUCUCGUAAUUGGAAUGAGUACAAUUUAAAUCUCUUAACGAGGAACAAUUGGAGGGCAAGUCUGGUGCCAGCAGCCGCGGUAAUUCCAGCUCCAAUAGCGUAUAUUAAAGUUGUUGCAGUUAAAAAGCUCGUAGUUGAAUUUCGGGGUUAGUAGGUUGGUCAUGCCUCUGGUAUGUACUGAUCUCACUGAUUCCUCCUUCCUUAUGAACCGUAAUGCCAUUAAUUUGGUGUUGCGGGGAAUUUGGACUGUUACUUUGAAAAAAUUAGAGUGUUUAAAGCAGGCUAACGCUUGAAUACAUUAGCAUGGAAUAAUGAAAUAGGACGUUCGAUCUUAUUUUGUUGGUUUCUAGGAUUGACGUAAUGAUUAAUAGGGAUAGUUGGGGGCAUUAGUAUUCAAUUGUCAGAGGUGAAAUUCUUGGAUUUAUUGAAGACUAACUACUGCGAAAGCAUUUGCCAAGGAUGUUUUCAUUAAUCAAGAACGAAAGUUAGGGGAUCGAAGACGAUCAGAUACCGUCGUAGUCUUAACCAUAAACUAUGCCGACUAGGGAUCGGAUGA